This 505-nucleotide ribosomal RNA is filed under the name Listeria monocytogenes. RNAcentral describes it as "partial 23S ribosomal RNA". It matches the Rfam family "Bacterial large subunit ribosomal RNA", at positions 724 to 1226 of the family's 2925-position model. The record is from RNAcentral. Lineage: Bacteria; Bacillati; Bacillota; Bacilli; Caryophanales; Listeriaceae.
GGUGAUCUACCCAUGUCCAGGAUGAAGGUAAGGUAAUACUUACUGGAGGUCCGAACCCACGCACGUUGAAAAGUGCGGGGAUGAGGUGUGGGUAGCGGAGAAAUUCCAAUCGAACUUGGAGAUAGCUGGUUCUCUCCGAAAUAGCUUUAGGGCUAGCCUCGAGGUAAAGAGUCAUGGAGGUAGAGCACUGUUUGGACUAGGGGCCCUUCUCGGGUUACCGAAUUCAGAUAAACUCCGAAUGCCAUGUACUUAUACUCGGGAGUCAGACUGCGAGUGAUAAGAUCCGUAGUCGAAAGGGAAACAGCCCAGACCACCAGUUAAGGUCCCCAAAUAUAUGUUAAGUGGAAAAGGAUGUGGGGUUGCUUAGACAACCAGGAUGUUGGCUUAGAAGCAGCCACCAUUGAAAGAGUGCGUAAUAGCUCACUGGUCGAGUGACCCCGCGCCGAAAAUGUACCGGGGCUAAACAUAUUACCGAAACUGUGGAUGAACCUCUUUAGAGGUUCGU